GUGAAAGAUCGUUGUUAAUGGUUUGGGGAUAGAAAAUACAUUUGGGAAUCAUCGAAGAUCGAUUUCACCAUGAAUGAAAAUGGGGCGUGGACCAUGGGGCAUGUGUAAUGCUCGCUGUAAUGAGGAAAGCUGUUUAUUUGUGCUCAGUCUGAUGUAAUGCAGAGUUUCUUCCGUAUAUCCCCACUAUUAAUAGAGAAUCGCUUGAAAAUGUUCGAAUCAUACAAUUAUCUUUGUCCAAAUGCAACCCCAAACAUUAUCAAACUCAAAUAUCUAGAGCAAACUCAACUUGAAGUGCAGCACUGCUGAAAAAAUAGAAAGUUAUUUCCCCCAUGACUUUUGUUUAACUCGCUGCUCCCUUGGUAUAUUGAAAUAUAUUUCAGCUUUCUUAAGCAGCCCUUUUAAGGGCUUACGGAACUUUACAUUUUGUGCGCAAAAUGCACAAAACGCCCGAACACAGUUCGCCUCUUAAUGUGCAAAUGUAGGGCUUAACUAACACAAGGAUGCACACGCAUAAUAGAUGCAUCCAAUAGA
This 531-nucleotide long non-coding RNA is filed under the name Drosophila guanche. Lineage: Eukaryota; Metazoa; Arthropoda; Insecta; Diptera; Drosophilidae. The record is from RNAcentral.